This 341-nucleotide unclassified non-coding RNA is filed under the name uncultured Mortierella. RNAcentral's name for it is "sequence contains ITS2". Lineage: Eukaryota; Fungi; Mortierellomycota; Mortierellomycetes; Mortierellales; Mortierellaceae. The record is from RNAcentral.
AACGCAUAUUGCGCUCUUUGGUAUUCCGAAGAGCAUGCUUGUUUGAGUAUCAGUAAACACCUCAAAGACUUCAAUUUGUUUUGAAUGGCUUUGGACUUGAGCAAUCCCAACACCAGUCUUUACGACCGGUGGAGGGUUGCUUGAAAUGCAGGUGCAGCUGGACAUUCUCCUGAGCUAAAAGCAUAUUUAUUUAGUCCCGUCAAACGGAUUAUUACUUUUGCUGCAGCUAACAUAAAGGGAGUUUGACCGUAUUGGCUGACUGAUGCAGGAUUUCACAAGGGUCGGCAACGAUUCUUGUAAAACUCGAUCUCAAAUCAAGUAAGACUACCCGCUGAACUUAA